AUGCAGCGGCACCUAAUGGUGACAGUUGUUAAAGCGGGGGAUCGCAAGACCUCGCGUCUAAAGAGGAGCCUGCGGCAGAUUAGCUAGUUGGUAAGGUAACGGCUUACCAAGGCGAUGAUCUGUAGCCGGCCUGAGAGGGCGGUCGGCCACACUGACACUGACAUACGGGUCAGACUCCUACGGGAGGCAGCAGUCGGGAAUUUUGGGCAAUGGGCGAAAGCCUGACCCAGCAACGCCGCGUGAAGGAUGAAAUCCCUCGGGAUGUAAACUUCGCAGGAACGGGAAGAAUAAGCCGGUGCAAAUAUCACCGGCGAUGACGGUACCGUUUGUAAGCUCCGGCUAACUCCGUGCCAGCAGCCGCGGUAAUACGGGGGGAGCAAGCGUUGUUCGGAUUUACUGGGCGUAAAGGGCGCGUAGGCGGCCACUGCAAGUCGACUGUGAAAUCUCCGGGCUUAACUCGGAAAGGUCAGCCGAUACUGCGGGGCUAGAGUGCAGAAGGGGCAACUGGAAUUCUCGGUGUAGCGGUGAAAUGCGUAGAUAUCGAGAGGAACACCUGCGGCGAAGGCGGGUUGCUGGGCUGACACUGACGCUGAGGCGCG
This 599-nucleotide ribosomal RNA is filed under the name uncultured bacterium. RNAcentral's name for it is "bacterial SSU rRNA". It matches the Rfam family "Bacterial small subunit ribosomal RNA", at positions 173 to 755 of the family's 1533-position model. The record is from RNAcentral.